This 112-nucleotide ribosomal RNA is filed under the name Vulpes vulpes (red fox). Lineage: Eukaryota; Metazoa; Chordata; Mammalia; Carnivora; Canidae. The record is from RNAcentral.
UAUUUGGCCGUACCACCCUGAAUGUGCCUGACCUCAUCUGAUCUCAGAAGCUAAAGCAGUUUGGGCCUGGUUAUUAGUACUUGAAUGGGAGGAAACCAUGUGGCUAUAGUGU